RNAcentral lists this long non-coding RNA (1220 nucleotides) under Cairina moschata (Muscovy duck). RNAcentral's name for it is "domestica (muscovy Duck (domestic type)) lncRNA (ENSCMMG00000003878.1)". The record is from RNAcentral. Lineage: Eukaryota; Metazoa; Chordata; Aves; Anseriformes; Anatidae.
AUACCCAUCUCUCACUGUAAUUGUUCCAGUUUGUUUACUGCUGUGUUAUGUGAGUUAUUGAUCUUCUCUUUCUAGCUUCUUUGUGUUCUUCCAGUUUCUAAUUCAUUUUUGCUUUUAAAGAGUUUAAAUAAAAGCUUGAAAAGGAUUAUCAAGCUGAGCCUUGAGAAGGCAUUGCUUAAAGCCAGCAUCCAUGCCAAAAAAGAAAGAAAAAAAUUACAAUAAUAAUAAUUUAUAGACCUGAUGACCAUUCUAGCUCAUCAAUGAACUGCCUGGUAGGGACAACAAAUUAGAAUAAUUUAUGGCCUGAUUCUGAGAGGCCCAGCAUGGCCCUGCUCAGCAUUGGGCAGCGCUCUGCAUUCACUGUACUCACGGUGUGGUGGGACUGAUCCUCACAGCUUUCUCUCAUUUUUUAUUUUUUUUUUUUUGUGUGCAGAGGGGAAAGCAAUGUCCAUCUGUACCCAGCUUUCACUUCAGAUUUUGUGAAAUAACACCGACACAUGAGAGUGUACCCAAAACAUCUUUGGUUGCCACUGGAUGCUGAAGCAUUGCGAUCAUCUGAUGUGUCCCUCCAUGGGCAGGAAGUCUCCUACCUCUCGCUUCAGGUUGCAGUUGAUCCGGAGGGGGAUCCUGGGGAUGGUAGCGCCCAUUAGCGCAGUGUCAGCCUUCUUGCAGCAUGGCUAAUGCAGCAUCUGAAAGGAGCAGACGUGCUCGGCUUAAGCAGCCAUAGCGCUGCCACCAGAAUAGCCAGGAAUAACUUGGAGUCAGACUGCUGCUUUAGUUGUCCCUUGGCCCCUUCAUUGGCAUUCUCCAGGACCACCUUCCUUUGAGGAGAGAGAAUAACCCAGGGAAGCAUGGUGUCCACUGGAUUGUUAUGGCUGUGUAAAAAGAGACUGAAAUGGUGAGACCACUUGUAUAUGCUUUGUGUUCACAUGUGCUGGCUUCAUGAUAGAUCAGGCAGUGGACAUGCAUCUGGUCCUGCCAGCAUUACGAGUGCCGGCCUCCAAUCUGCAGCAGAUAAAAGACAGGGAUCAGAGCCACAUGCCCUAGCUGCCAACCAUGGAGCUCUCAGCAACCUCGAGACAUGUCAGGUUGCUGACGGAUACAACUUCCUUGUGAUACAGAAGAGGGCAGUGAUGUUUCAUUUUUGGGGACCGGAAUCAGCAGGGGUACCAGCUGUACAAACUGAUGUGCAAAGAAGUUACUCUGCAAGGGAUACUUGA